UGGGGAAUUUUGGACAAUGGGCGAAAGCCUGAUCCAGCAAUGCCGCGUGUGUGAAGAAGGCCUUCGGGUUGUAAAGCACUUUUGUCCGGAAAGAAAUCCUUGGCUCUAAUACAGUCGGGGGAUGACGGUACCGGAAGAAUAAGCACCGGCUAACUACGUGCCAGCAGCCGCGGUAAUACGUAGGGUGCAAGCGUUAAUCGGAAUUACUGGGCGUAAAGCGUGCGCAGGCGGUUUGCUAAGACCGAUGUGAAAUCCCCGGGCUCAACCUGGGAACUGCAUUGGUGACUGGCAGGCUAGAGUAUGGCAGAGGGGGGUAGAAUUCCACGUGUAGCAGUGAAAUGCGUAGAGAUGUGGAGGAAUACCGAUGGCGAAGGCAGCCCCCUGGGCCAAUACUGACGCUCAUGCACGAAAGCGUGGGGAGCAAACAGGAUUAGAUACCAUGGUAGUCCACGCCCUAAACGAUGUCAACUAGUUGUUGGGGAUUCAUUCCUUAGUAACGUAGCUAACGCGUGAAGUUGACCGCCUGGGGAGUACGGUCGCAAGAUUAAAACUUAAAGGAAUUGACGGGGUCAUAGCUGUUUCCU
Molecule: ribosomal RNA, 584 nt
Filed under: uncultured bacterium
Lineage: Bacteria
Description: partial 16S ribosomal RNA
Rfam family: Bacterial small subunit ribosomal RNA
Source: RNAcentral